AGAGUUUGAUCAUGGCUCAGAACGAACGCUGGCGGCAUGCCUAACACAUGCAAGUCGAACGUGAUCUGUUCCUUCGGGGAUGGUGAAAGUGGCAGACGGGUGAGUAACGCGUGGGAACCUGCCCCAAGGUAGGGAAUAACCGCGGGAAACUGCGGCUAAUACCCUAUGUGCCCUACGGGGCAAAGAUUUAUCGCCUUGGGAGGGGCCCGCGUCGGAUUAGGUAGUUGGUAGGGUAACGGCCUACCAAGCCUACGAUCCGUAGCUGGUCUGAGAGGAUGAUCAGCCACACUGGGACUGAGAUACGGCCCAGACUCCUACGGGAGGCAGCAGUGGGGAAUAUUGGACAAUGGGGGCAACCCUGAUCCAGCAAUGCCGCGUGAGUGAUGAAGGCCUUCGGGUUGUAAAGCUCUUUCGGCGGGGAAGAUGAUGACGGUACCCGCAGAAGAAGCCCCGGCUAACUUCGUGCCAGCAGCCGCGGUAAUACGAAGGGGGCUAGCGUUGUUCGGAAUUACUGGGCGUAAAGGGCGCGUAGGCUGUGCUGUAAGUCAGGCGUGAAAUCCCCGGGCUCAACCUGGGAAUUGCGCAUGAUACUGCGGCGCUGGAAGGCGGGAGAGGAUGGCGGAAUUCCCAGUGUAGAGGUGAAAUUCGUAGAUAUUGGGAAGAACACCGGGCGAAGGCGGCCAUCUGGCCCGCAAUUGACGCUGAGGCGCGAAAGCGUGGGGAGCAAACAGGAUUAGAUACCCUAGUAGUCC
This 752-nucleotide ribosomal RNA is filed under the name uncultured bacterium. RNAcentral describes it as "bacterial SSU rRNA". It matches the Rfam family "Bacterial small subunit ribosomal RNA", at positions 8 to 796 of the family's 1533-position model. The record is from RNAcentral.